AACGAACGCUGGCGGCAUGCCUAACACAUGCAAGUCGAACGAGACCUUCGGGUCUAGUGGCGCACGGGUGCGUAACGCGUGGGAACCUGCCCUUAGGUUCGGAAUAACUCCCCGAAAGGGGUGCUAAUACCGGAUAAUGUCUUCGGACCAAAGAUGUUUCGCCUUUGGAUGGGCCCGCGUUGGAUUAGCUAGUUGGUAGGGUAAAAGCCUACCAAGGCGACGAUGCAUAGCUGGUCUGGGAGGAUGAUCAGCCACACUGGGACUGAGACACGGCCCAGACUGGUACGGGAGGGAGCAGUAGGGAAUAUUGGGCAAGGGGCGAAGACGUAGUCCAGCAGUGCCGGGUGAGUGAUGAAGGCCUUAGGGUUGUAAAGCUCUUUGACCCGGGAUGAGAAUGACAGUACCGGGAGAAUAAGCACCGGCUAACUCCGUG
This 433-nucleotide ribosomal RNA is filed under the name uncultured bacterium. Its description in RNAcentral is "partial 16S ribosomal RNA". It matches the Rfam family "Bacterial small subunit ribosomal RNA", at positions 29 to 507 of the family's 1533-position model. The record is from RNAcentral.